RNAcentral lists this ribosomal RNA (2923 nucleotides) under Campylobacter coli. RNAcentral describes it as "23S ribosomal RNA". It matches the Rfam family "Bacterial large subunit ribosomal RNA". The record is from RNAcentral. Lineage: Bacteria; Pseudomonadati; Campylobacterota; Epsilonproteobacteria; Campylobacterales; Campylobacteraceae.
AAAAAAGGUAAGCUACUAAGAGCGAAUGGUGGAUGCCUUGACUGGUAAAGGCGAUGAAGGACGUACUAGACUGCGAUAAGCUACGGGGAGCUGUCAAGAAGCUUUGAUCCGUAGAUUUCCGAAUGGGGCAACCCAAUGUAUAGAGAUAUACAUUACCUAUAUAGGAGCGAACGAGGGGAAUUGAAACAUCUUAGUACCCUCAGGAAAAGAAAUCAAUAGAGAUUGCGUCAGUAGCGGCGAGCGAAAGCGCAAGAGGGCAAACCCAGUGCUUGCACUGGGGGUUGUAGGACUGCAAUGUGCAAGAGGUGAGUUUAGCAGAACAUUCUGGAAAGUAUAGCCAUAGAGGGUGAUAGUCCCGUAUGCGAAAAACAAACCUUAGCUAGCAGUAUCCUGAGUAGGGCGGGACACGAGAAAUCCUGUCUGAAGCUGGGUCGACCACGAUCCAACCCUAAAUACUAAUACCAGAUCGAUAGUGCACAAGUACCGUGAGGGAAAGGUGAAAAGAACUGAGGUGAUCAGAGUGAAAUAGAACCUGAAACCAUUUGCUUACAAUCAUUCAGAGCCCUAUGUAGCAAUACAGGGUGAUGGACUGCCUUUUGCAUAAUGAGCCUGCGAGUUGUGGUGUCUGGCAAGGUUAAGCAAACGCGAAGCCGUAGCGAAAGCGAGUCUGAAUAGGGCGCUUAGUCAGAUGCUGCAGACCCGAAACGAAGUGAUCUAUCCAUGAGCAAGUUGAAGCUAGUGUAAGAACUAGUGGAGGACUGAACCCAUAGGCGUUGAAAAGCCCCGGGAUGACUUGUGGAUAGGGGUGAAAGGCCAAUCAAACUUCGUGAUAGCUGGUUCUCUCCGAAAUAUAUUUAGGUAUAGCGUUGUGUCGUAAUAUAAGGGGGUAGAGCACUGAAUGGGCUAGGGCAUACACCAAUGUACCAAACCCUAUCAAACUCCGAAUACCUUAUAUGUAAUCACAGCAGUCAGGCGGCGAGUGAUAAAAUCCGUCGUCAAGAGGGAAACAACCCAGACUACCAGCUAAGGUCCCUAAAUCUUACUUAAGUGGAAAACGAUGUGAAGUUACUUAAACAACCAGGAGGUUGGCUUAGAAGCAGCCAUCCUUUAAAGAAAGCGUAAUAGCUCACUGGUCUAGUGAUUUUGCGCGGAAAAUAUAACGGGGCUAAAGUAAGUACCGAAGCUGUAGACUUGAUUUUAUCAAGUGGUAGGAGAGCGUUCUAUUUGCGUCGAAGGUAUACCGGUAAGGAGUGCUGGAGCGAAUAGAAGUGAGCAUGCAGGCAUGAGUAGCGAUAAUUAAUGUGAGAAUCAUUAACGCCGUAAACCCAAGGUUUCCUACGCGAUGCUCGUCAUCGUAGGGUUAGUCGGGUCCUAAGUCGAGUCCGAAAGGGGUAGACGAUGGCAAAUUGGUUAAUAUUCCAAUACCAACAUUAGUGUGCGAUGGAAGGACGCUUAGGGCUAAGGGGGCUAGCGGAUGGAAGUGCUAGUCUAAGGUCGUAGGAGGUUAUACAGGCAAAUCCGUAUAACAAUACUCCGAGAACUGAAAGGCUUUUUGAAGUCUUCGGAUGGAUAGAAGAACCCCUGAUGCCGUCGAGCCAAGAAAAGUUUCUAAGUUUAGCUAAUGUUGCCCGUACCGUAAACCGACACAGGUGGGUGGGAUGAGUAUUCUAAGGCGCGUGGAAGAACUCUCUUUAAGGAACUCUGCAAAAUAGCACCGUAUCUUCGGUAUAAGGUGUGGUUAGCUUUGUAUUAGGAUUUACUCCGAAAGCGAAGAAACUUACAACAAAGAGUCCCUCCCGACUGUUUACCAAAAACACAGCACUCUGCUAACUCGUAAGAGGAUGUAUAGGGUGUGACGCCUGCCCGGUGCUCGAAGGUUAAUUGAUGGGGUUAGCAUUAGCGAAGCUCUUGAUCGAAGCCCGAGUAAACGGCGGCCGUAACUAUAACGGUCCUAAGGUAGCGAAAUUCCUUGUCGGUUAAAUACCGACCUGCAUGAAUGGCGUAACGAGAUGGGAGCUGUCUCAAAGAGGGAUCCAGUGAAAUUGUAGUGGAGGUGAAAAUUCCUCCUACCCGCGGCAAGACGGAGAGACCCCGUGGACCUUUACUACAGCUUGACACUGCUAUUUGGAUAAGAAUGUGCAGGAUAGGUGGGAGGCUUUGAGUAUAUGACGCCAGUUGUAUAUGAGCCAUUGUUGAGAUACCACUCUUUCUUAUUUGGGUAGCUAACCAGCUUGAGUUAUCCUCAAGUGGGACAAUGUCUGGUGGGUAGUUUGACUGGGGCGGUCGCCUCCCAAAUAAUAACGGAGGCUUACAAAGGUUGGCUCAGAACGGUUGGAAAUCGUUCGUAGAGUAUAAAGGUAUAAGCCAGCUUAACUGCAAGACAUACAAGUCAAGCAGAGACGAAAGUCGGUCUUAGUGAUCCGGUGGUUCUGUGUGGAAGGGCCAUCGCUCAAAGGAUAAAAGGUACCCCGGGGAUAACAGGCUGAUCUCCCCCAAGAGCUCACAUCGACGGGGAGGUUUGGCACCUCGAUGUCGGCUCAUCGCAUCCUGGGGCUGGAGCAGGUCCCAAGGGUAUGGCUGUUCGCCAUUUAAAGCGGUACGCGAGCUGGGUUCAGAACGUCGUGAGACAGUUCGGUCCCUAUCUGCCGUGGGCGUAAGAAGAUUGAAGAGAUUUGACCCUAGUACGAGAGGACCGGGUUGAACAAACCACUGGUGUAGCUGUUGUUCUGCCAAGAGCAUCGCAGCGUAGCUAAGUUUGGAAAGGAUAAACGCUGAAAGCAUCUAAGCGUGAAGCCAACUCUAAGAUGAAUCUUCUCUAAGCUCUCUAGAAGACUACUAGUUUGAUAGGCUGGGUGUGUAAUGGAUGAAAGUCCUUUAGCUGACCAGUACUAAUAGAGCGUUUGGCUUAUCUUUAAUAAAGCAU